RNAcentral lists this ribosomal RNA (258 nucleotides) under uncultured bacterium. RNAcentral describes it as "partial 16S ribosomal RNA". It matches the Rfam family "Bacterial small subunit ribosomal RNA", at positions 793 to 1055 of the family's 1533-position model. The record is from RNAcentral.
GUCCACGCCCUAAACGAUGUCUACUAGUUGUCGGUCUUAAUUGACUUGGUAACGCAGCUAACGCGUGAAGUAGACCGCCUGGGAGUACGGUCGCAAGAUUAAACUCAAAGGAAUUGACGGGACCCGCACAAGCGGUGGAUGAUGUGGAUUAAUUCGAUGCAACGCGAAACCUUACCUACCCUUGACAUGUACGGAAUCCUGCUGAGAGGCGGGAGUGCUCGAAAGAGAACCGUAACACAGGUGCUGCAUGGCUGUCGU